This 620-nucleotide ribosomal RNA is filed under the name uncultured bacterium. RNAcentral's name for it is "bacterial SSU rRNA". It matches the Rfam family "Bacterial small subunit ribosomal RNA", at positions 338 to 951 of the family's 1533-position model. The record is from RNAcentral.
CCUACGGGAGGCAGCAGUGGGGAAUUUUGGACAAUGGGGGCAACCCUGAUCCAGCCAUUCCGCGUGAGUGAAGAAGGCCUUCGGGUUGUAAAGCUCUUUUGUCGGGGACGAAACGGUUACGAUUAAUACUCGUGACAACUGACGGUACCCGAAGAAUAAGCACCGGCUAACUACGUGCCAGCAGCCGCGGUAAUACGUAGGGUGCGAGCGUUAAUCGGAAUUACUGGGCGUAAAGCGUGCGCAGGCGGUUUUGUAAGCCAGAUGUGAAAUCCCCGGGCUUAACCUGGGAAUGGCAUUUGGGACUGCAAGGCUAGAGUAUGGCAGAGGAGACUAGAAUUUCUGGUGUAGCAGUGAAAUGCGUAGAUAUCAGAAGGAAUACCGAUGGCGAAGGCAGGUCUCUGGGUCAAUGCUGACGCUCAUGCACGAAAGCGUGGGGAGCAAACAGGAUUAGAUACCCUGGUAGUCCACGCCCUAAACGAUGUCAACUGGUUGUUGGGAGAUUUAUUCUCUUAGUAACGAAGCUAACGCGUGAAGUUGACCGCCUGGGGAGUACGGUCGCAAGNUUAAAACUCAAAGGAAUUGACGGCUGAGACGNGCGACGACGACGACGAGGGAGGAGG